GACGAACGCUGGCGGCGUGCUUAACACAUGCAAGUCGAACGGAAAGGCCCUGCUUUUGUGGGGUGCUCGAGUGGCGAACGGGUGAGUAACACGAGAGUAACCUGCUCUAGACUUUGGGAUAACUUCAGGAAACUGGGGCUAAUACCGGAUCGGAUCUCCUGCUGCAUGGUGGGGGUUGGAAAGUUUCGGCGGUCGGGGAUGGACUCGCGGCUAAUCAGCUUGUUGGUGGGGUAGUGGCUUACCAAGGCUUUGACGGAUACCCGGCCUGGGAGGGUGACCGGCGACCAUGGUACUGAGAGAGGGACCAGACGCGAACGUGAGGCAGCAGUGGGAAAUAUGGCACAAUGAGCGGAAGUCUGAUGCAGCAGCGCCGCGUGCGUGAUGACGGCCUUUGGGUUGAGAACCGCUUUCGCUUGUGACGAAGCGUGUGUGACGGUAAUGAGUAAAGAAGCACCGGCUAACUACGUG
RNAcentral lists this ribosomal RNA (468 nucleotides) under uncultured bacterium. RNAcentral's name for it is "partial 16S ribosomal RNA". It matches the Rfam family "Bacterial small subunit ribosomal RNA", at positions 28 to 507 of the family's 1533-position model. The record is from RNAcentral.